Molecule: unclassified non-coding RNA, 200 nt
Filed under: Hevea brasiliensis (rubber tree)
Lineage: Eukaryota; Viridiplantae; Streptophyta; Magnoliopsida; Malpighiales; Euphorbiaceae
Source: RNAcentral
UAGCAGGGCGGACGCGAGGGAUCCUCCAGCAGGAAGUCGACGCGUGAGCCCUUGCCGUUGAUGGUGCGGCCAUACUUCACCUCGCGGCGAAUGCUUGCGUAACCGGUCAAUUCCGGAAUUGCACCGGCUGNNNNNNNNNGAUCGGGUUCGGAUGCAUGGUGUUGACGCCGGUCAGCUCGAGGCCGCCGCCGAAGUCGGCC